UUGACCCCGACCCAACCCAAACUAUUGGGCUUGUUGAGCCGAUCCAUCGGGUUGGCAUGUUGGGUCUAUUCGCUGGGUCAAUAAAAUAUAUAGAAAAUUAUACUAGUUUGUCUUAAUCCAGCUUAAGAGUUUUUGAUAUUAGAAAAAUGUUUUAAAUUCUUUGGUUCUAGUCAAUGAUAUAUAAUAAUACCUAGACUGACGAUUCAUUCAUUAAAAUGCCUUUUUAAGCACGUAUAAAUGCAAAUCAGCUGGAGACGCCAUAAACACCAUAUUUUUUACAUCGAUGAUAAUUUGCUCAAUAGCAUAUUUGAAUUUGUUAAAUUCCCUAUCAAGAAUGAAAUUUUAAUAUCAAAAUGGCUAAAGGCAAUGAAUAAGGAAAAUUUCACUCCUACUAAGUUUUUAAAGCUUUGUGGAGCCCAUUUCAAACCUGAAUGUUUUAUGCCCUCACAUUCAUGGAAUGCUAUUAGGAUCUGUACCAUCCAUUUUUAAUUCCAGACCCCUUCAGGAUAUAACAAAUAUUCCAUCGAAUACAAAUAAUACUCCUACAAAUUUUAACUAAUGCUACUAAUAUUUACUCUAUGCAGAUAAACAUAACAAAAAUUCAAAUAUCAAUUUUUGGCAGAAGUUGAAGAAAACCAUUCUAUUCGCAGGACAAUAAAUAUAUUGGCACAUGAUCUUUUUUAAUUUAUAUUAUGACUGUAUAUAUUUAAAUAUGGAUGCUAUAUAUUAAUGAAUUUUGUAAUUUAUUGUACAUUAUAUCUAUUUCUAAUUUAUAAUAAAAUAUGGAUGCUAUAUUAAUGAAUUUCGUAAUUUA
Gordionus sp. m RMFG-2023 is the source of this 814-nucleotide long non-coding RNA. RefSeq lists it as uncharacterized. The record is from RefSeq and is a predicted model, not a curated record. NCBI's taxonomy places the organism in Eukaryota, Metazoa, Nematomorpha, Gordioida, Chordodea, Parachordodidae. The transcript has 3 exons.